RNAcentral lists this long non-coding RNA (227 nucleotides) under Olea europaea (common olive). Its description in RNAcentral is "long non-coding RNA (OEUR_LNC014690)". The record is from RNAcentral. Lineage: Eukaryota; Viridiplantae; Streptophyta; Magnoliopsida; Lamiales; Oleaceae.
CAACACUAUUCGCCCAAUCAGAAGGUAAAUUUCAAGGACAAAAUUUUAAUUAAGGUGUGGGGGAUGUAGAACCCCAAAUAAUUCUAGACACCUUAGUGGCACUAAGACAUGAAUAUUGGAUGACUAAAGUAUACUUCAGAUUUUUAGUCUCAUUUGAAACCCAUUUUCGACAUAGGAAACAUUCGAUUUGGAAAAUGAUAUCUCAAUAAAAGUUGUAGCUCUUUGAG